AGCAGCCGCGGUAAUUCCAGCUCCAAUAGCGUAUAUUAAAGUUGCUGCAGUUAAAAAGCUCGUAGUUGAAUUUCGGGAUCAGUACGCUGGUCGUGCCUUUGGUAUGUACUGGUGUCACUGAUUCCUCCCUUCUGAAGAACCGUUAUGCCAUUUAUUUGGUGUGGCGGGGAAUCAGGACUGUUACUUUGAAAAAAUUAGAGUGUUUAAAGCAGGCUCGCGCUUGAAUACAUUAGCAUGGAAUAAUGAAAUAGGACGUUUGAUUCUUAUUUUGUUGGUUUCUAGGAUCGACGUAAUGAUUAAUAGGGAUAGUUGGGGGCAUUAGUAUUCAAUUGUCAGGGGUGAAAUUCUUGGAUUUAUUGAAGACUAACUACUGCGAAAGCAUUUGCCAAGGAUGUUUUCAUUAAUCAAGAACGAAAGUUAGGGGAUCGAAGACGAUCAGAUACCGUCGUA
This 450-nucleotide ribosomal RNA is filed under the name uncultured Glomeromycotina. RNAcentral's name for it is "SSU rRNA". It matches the Rfam family "Eukaryotic small subunit ribosomal RNA", at positions 569 to 1022 of the family's 1831-position model. Lineage: Eukaryota; Fungi; Glomeromycota. The record is from RNAcentral.